UAUGUGAUCGUCUCUCGCAUAUCAAUAAGCGGAGGAAAAGAAACUAACAAGGAUUCCCCUAGUAACGGCGAGUGAAGCGGGAAGAGCUCAAAUUUGAAAUCUUAAGGGUUUCCCUUUACGAAUUGUAGUUUAAAGAAGUGUUUUCUGUUGAGGUUUUGGUAAAAGUUCUUUGGAAUAGGACAUCAUAGAGGGUGAGAAUCCCGUAUUUGACCUUUACUUUCAACUUUGUGAUACACUUUCAAAGAGUCGGAUUGUUUGGGAAUGCAGUCCAAAAUGGGUGGUAAAUUUCAUCUAAGCUAAAUAUUGGCGAGAGACCGAUAGCGAACAAGUACCGUGAGGGAAAGAUGAAAAGAACUUUGAAAAGAGAGUUAAACAGUACGUGAAAUUGUCAAAAGGGAAGCGUUUGACACCAGUGUUGUUUUUCUGAAAAUCAAUUAAAGAACUGUUUAUGCUAAGCUGUUUAGACUUUAUCAGCUAAUCUGUUUAGUUUUGAGCUUUUCUUUAAUGCACUUUUCAGUUAACAAGUCAACAUCAAUUUCUUUUGCUGUAAAAAAGCUUGAGGAAGGUGGCUUGAGAUUCGUCUUAAGUGUUUAUAGCCUCUUGCCUAUGCAGUCGGAGAGAUUGAGGUCUGCAGCGUAGAUCCUUCGGGGCUAAAUGCAUUUGUGCUAAGUUAUAGCAUUUUAUAGACAACUUGUUGACUAUGAUUUGUCUUGUAGCUUACUCGCUUAUGUUAGUUUUACCUACGCUUAGGAUGUUGAGUAGCGACAUACGCAC
This 774-nucleotide ribosomal RNA is filed under the name uncultured Neocallimastigales. RNAcentral describes it as "partial large subunit ribosomal RNA". It matches the Rfam family "Eukaryotic large subunit ribosomal RNA", at positions 24 to 649 of the family's 3401-position model. The record is from RNAcentral. Lineage: Eukaryota; Fungi; Neocallimastigomycota; Neocallimastigomycetes; Neocallimastigales.